UAGGUGUCAUGGUUUCUUUGCCUUUUUCUCCCUGUAAACUGAGUCACAGGGACUUAAGGAUUAAUGUCCACCUGGGCAUGCGUACAGCCCCUAUGGGAAACAAGGCCCGUGGGGAUGUUACUCCCUGGAGCCCUUAAGCCACAAAUGUUCAUCAGUGGCCACAUCAAAGAAGGCAUCCAAGCCCAUGCUCCUCCACUGACUACCUGAGUUAUUCUUCUGCCUCACCUCUUGGGUCACGCUUAACUGAAGAAACUCAGCGAGCUUGUCCAAGGGGCCUGAUUGAUGACAUAUCACUCUGAGAGGCAGAGGUCAAUUCUCCAGGGCCCAGGACCUGUUCCCUAGUUACCCAAAGCCCCUGCUGCACAAACACCUCUCUGGGCCCUUUCUUUUUCUUGCUUUUUACCACCUCCCCAGGCUGUGCCUGGGAAGAAAAAUGCAGGCUCCCUUUCCUAGGGUUCUACAAAUGCCCAUGGACUCAGGAUUUUCCUGCUUUGGUGACCCCCUUCCCCCGCAUCAGAAGAGCAUUCAGAAGAAGCUUUCCUCUGUCUCAUGAGAGCUUCCAAAUCUCGUAUUCAUGCUCUGAGUUUUUCUUGUCAUUGUUGUUCCUUUUAAGGACACAACUCUCAAAAGAGAAAGUCGGGAGAGGGUCCUUUGUUUUCUCUUCUGCUGUUCAAAUGCCUAUCACUCAAGCAAAGGCUCCACACAGGCUCAUUUGAAGGGUAGAAGGGCCAUGGGAUGCGGUAUCAGGAAGGUGAAAGGACUGCCAGCUACAGUUUUGGAGCCGGGUCACAGCACUGCACCCACCGGACCCCAGGUCCCGGUUUCCCCCAGCAGGCUGGGAGGUGGCAGCCUGGAGGACAUCUUUCUAAGAGGAGGUCUGGGAGGCAGCCCCGUGGCCGUUCUUCUACCCAGUCCUGUGGUCCAUGCUCCUGCCCCUCUGCAUGCAAACACACCCAGGGGGCUUCCUGAGUCCUGGCCCUUUUCCCCCAGAGCCCAGAACAAGGGAAUCCAUGCACGAAGAAGCAAGUUUUCCUAUCUCACCUUUCACCCUCACUGUGGGGCUGGAGGUGUAGUCCUCGAAGGGAUAUAGUCUGGAGAGAAACGAACGCUCUAAUAUUAAUGUAAAUGUGAUUCAUGCACCCCCGCAGGCAGGCUCCUUUUAUUUGCCUAAUUCGGAAACACAGGCCGGAGGUUCUUACUUAUCUGCCAUCCCAGAAAGGGACCCUGAGGGGGGCUUGGUACCGCUCCAGCAUCUUAAGUAGAAACCACAGCCUUGAGAUGGUGCCAAGGCGGCCAAUUAAGAAGGUGUUGACGACACUUCCCAGGAACAUUUUUCUAGAUGUUUAACUUUGACCGAAAGUUGAAGCUUCUAAUAAACCCCAGGAACUUCACAUUUUCCAGGGAAGAGUGCCUGGGCUCUUAAAAACUUCCAAGAAACUCGGAUUCUCAGAAGACUUUGCAGACUUCAAGCUCACCCGCCCAUUCAAGAGCUUUCUGGACAGAAACGGAGGGAAAGAAAACUGUGCUUUCUUGCAUGCCCUGAGAGGUUUACAUAACUAAAGUCAGAUAAGAAGCCUGGCGCCAAUUAGGCCACCGCCUUGGCUUUGGGAAGGGAGGCCCUGCCCCGCCUCCCGGCCCUUGGCCGCUGGGUAUGACAGGGUUGGCAGUGUCAGGCAGCAGCAGUGUCAGCCCAAGGGGCUGGGGUUGGUGCUGGCCAGGCUGGCUCCCUCCAACCGGAAUCUCCUCCUUGCCCAGCUUUAUUCAGCACUAGCUGUGGCCAUCUGCAUGUAUGUGCCCAUCAGCCCAGCAGUCUCACUGGAAGCUCUGUACGGUGGGCUUCUAGCUCCAUCGUAGAGAAAAGUAAAGCUCACAGGCGCACAGAGGUUCGCAAACCAGGGAGGAGAGUUGAACCUGGGUGCUGACCCACACUUGGGAAUUCCCAGGACUCAGUGAGAGCAAGCGGAGGUCUUGGCCAGGCGGGGAGGGUCCUGCUGCUCGCGGCCUCAGGCCUCCCACUGCCGGUCCUGUGGUGACGUGGAACGUGCACGAGGAGGGCCAGGUUGAGUGGGCGCAGGGGGAGGAGGCCUGUGGGGGUUUGGUGGGAGCAGCUUUUUAUCAAGCUGCACAGAAGUGUGUGAAUAAUGUUACCACUGGUGCAGCCAACAUGCUGUGUAUCAGCAGAUCGGAACCCGAGUCAUAAACACGUUCGUUGAGCUGGAAAGAAAGCAGCGGGAUAGAGGCGGGCGGGACCAGCUCUCUGGGCGGGGAGUGGAAGCAUCAAUAAGAUGGUCCAUGAGCCCACUGGCACCGUGGUGAAGGGAAGGGCGUUACGGGGAGACUGGAGGGCAACAAGCCACAGGUGCAAACUGCAUGCUGUGGCCCACGGAGGAGCGGGGUCUGGGGUGGGGAGGGAGCAGGGAGGACCCUGGUGAGACCUGAGACUGGAGGGACGCAGAGACCUGGCCCACGCCAUCCUGCCUGGGGAAUUUUGAUCCAACAUUUUUUAUGCUUUGGGCAGGUGGACAUUGCGGGUUGUUUCUUGGCGCUAAAGCACAAGUGAUUAAACUUUCCCCGAAAAUCUUCCUUUAGUAUUCUCUGUGACAGGUCGCCUCGUCACUCACGAUCCCCACUGCGUCUUUGGUGCCUCGUAUGCUCCCUGAGACGCAGAGCCCUGCUCAUCCCUUUUCACUGGCCCGUCUCACCGCUUCACUUCACCUCCCAACACCCUGGCGGGAACUGGAUCCCCUUUGAAAGCCCCGGACUACUUAGAAGACUGUUGUGCUUGUCCCUAGUCGGAGGUCCCCAGCAAAAGCUGGCAGGUCAGGCAGGUGAUGCAGAUGAGCGAAGGAGACCCCUCAAGACAACCCAGGCCGUGUACCCUUCCACCUGCAGACAAAGACGACGCAGUAAACCCUGGUCCCCAAGCCACCCUCCAUCUGUCAAUAUCAUCAGGAAUCUCUGAGACAACUCAGAGAAUCGUUCAGCUGCUCCUAGUUUCCCUUUUCCUCUCUCCAGCUUCAUCCCUGUUUGGGUUGGGUAAAAACGAGCAAUUACAGCAUUUAUGAGUCAACCAUUCCUGAUUGCCGUACAGCACAGUAAGGCUGAGUGUGCACCCUUGGGAUAGUCAUUUUAUGUGUCAGCGUGACGGAUCCGGGGAUGCCCAGAGGUCUGGUUAAUUCUGGGUGUGUCUGUCUGGGUGUUCCCAGAAGAGAUUCGCAUUUGAAUCCGUGGGGUGAGUGAAGGGGAUUGCCCUCCCCAGAGCGGGCCUGUACUGUGCAAUCCACCGAGGGUCUGAAUAGAACAAAAGAUGGAGGAAGGGAAGAUUGCCUCUCUCUGCUCGACCUCUGAGCUGGCAAGGGCUCUUCUCCUGCCCCGAUGGCGUCUGGUUCUCAGGCCUUCAGACUAGAACUGGAAUCUACACCGUUGACACCAGCUCACAGCCUUCCAACUACACCAUCAGCUUCCCUGUGUCUCCAGCCUGCAGAUGGCAGAUUAUAGCACUUCUCAGCCUCUGUAAGCUGAGAUUCCUUUUCAGCCAAUUCUUUAUAAAAUAUCACAUAUAUCUGUGACAUAUGUA
This is a long non-coding RNA of Phacochoerus africanus (Common warthog), 3577 nucleotides long. RefSeq lists it as uncharacterized. The transcript is spliced from 3 exons. Lineage: Eukaryota; Metazoa; Chordata; Mammalia; Artiodactyla; Suidae. The record is from RefSeq and is a predicted model, not a curated record.